AUUGAACGCUGGCGGCAGGCCUAAUACAUGCAAGUCGAACGAGAGGCGGACGGGUGGAUAAGUGCUGAGAAAGUGGCUGACGGAGGGGGAUAACUGGUGGAAACGGUAGCUAAUACCGCAUACGAGCAGAUGUGUCCAGAUGGGAUUAGCUAGUUGGGGGGGUAACGGCUCACCAAGGCGACGAUCCCUAGCUGGUCUGAGAGGAUGACCAGCCACACUGGAACUGAGACACGGCCCAUACUCCUACGGGAGGCAGCAGUGGGGAAUCUUGCACAAUGGGCGAAAGCCUGAUGCAGCCAUGCCGCGUGUGUGAAGAAGGCCUUCGGGUUGUAAAGCUCUUUUAGCGGGGAGGCGUUACCCGCAGAAGAAGCACCGGCUAACUCCGUGCCAGCAGCCGCGGUAAUAC
This 406-nucleotide ribosomal RNA is filed under the name uncultured bacterium. Its description in RNAcentral is "partial 16S ribosomal RNA". It matches the Rfam family "Bacterial small subunit ribosomal RNA", at positions 29 to 526 of the family's 1533-position model. The record is from RNAcentral.